Molecule: ribosomal RNA, 503 nt
Filed under: uncultured bacterium
Lineage: Bacteria
Description: bacterial SSU rRNA
Rfam family: Bacterial small subunit ribosomal RNA
Source: RNAcentral
GACGAACGCUGGCGGCGUGCUUAAUACAUGCAAGUCAACUGAACUUGAGAUAGCAAUAUUUUAAGGGAGGUGGCGCACGGGUGAGUAACACGUAGGCAAUCUGCCUUUAGGACGGGAACAACCACGCGAAAGCGUGGCUAAUACCCGAUUAUGCAGCGGCUCCGCAUGGAGACAGUUGUUAAACCCCGCAAGGGGCCUAUUGACGAGCCUGCGUCUGAUUAGCUAGUUGGUAGGGUAACGGCCUACCAAGGCGAUGAUCAGUAGGGGGCGUGAGAGCGUGGUCCCCCACACGGGUACUGAGACACGGACCCGACUCCUACGGGAGGCAGCAGUAAGGAAUAUUGGACAAUGGGCGGAAGCCUGAUCCAGCCAUGCCGCGUGCAGGAUGACGGCCCUCUGGGUUGUAAACUGCUUUAGAUCGGGAAGAAAGUUAUAUAUGUAUAUGUAAUUGACGGUACCGGUAGAAUAAGCACCGGCUAACUCCGUGCCAGCAGCCGCGGUAA